This 253-nucleotide ribosomal RNA is filed under the name uncultured bacterium. RNAcentral describes it as "partial 16S ribosomal RNA". It matches the Rfam family "Bacterial small subunit ribosomal RNA", at positions 524 to 776 of the family's 1533-position model. The record is from RNAcentral.
UACAGAGGUCUCAAGCGUUGUUCGGAAUUACUGGGCGUAAAGCGCGCGUAGGCGGAUCGCUAAGUCAGGGGUGAAAUCCCAGGGCUCAACCCUGGAACUGCCUUUGAUACUGACGAUCUGGAGAUCGGGAGAGGUUGGUGGAAUUCCGAGUGUAGAGGUGAAAUUCGUAGAUAUUCGGAGGAACACCAGAAGCGAAGGCGGCCAACUGGCCCGAUACUGACGCUGAGGCGCGAAAGCGUGGGGAGCAAACAGG